This is a long non-coding RNA of Malaclemys terrapin pileata, 705 nucleotides long. RefSeq lists it as uncharacterized. The transcript has 3 exons. NCBI's taxonomy places the organism in Eukaryota, Metazoa, Chordata, Testudines, Emydidae. The record is from RefSeq and is a predicted model, not a curated record.
CAAAAGCUGUGUGCAGCUCUCCCGGCUGCUGCUGCCUAUGGCAACAAGAGACACCGGCAGCAGGCUGAGGCAGCCGCUGCUGCACGUCAGGAGGAGAAGGCACACAGGUGCGUUGCAGCCCUCUCCUUCCCCCGGCACCCACCUGGAGGAGAUGCCGAGGGGGCUUCUGGUGGGAGACAGGAUCAUCUGUAGUGGACCUCACUCACCUGAGCAGCUGCUGGGGCUUCGCAAGACCUUUGAUAUUUGAGGAAUUGGAGGACCGGCAUAGAGGAGACCUGUGUUCCAAUGUAGGAGAAAGGCAACGCCGAGAGAGUGAUGACCCAGGACCGCUCCGGAGCAGAACUGGGAGCACUUCUUGUUUCUGGCUGUGGUGAAUAAGUCUAUCUUUGGGACUCCCCAACGUAGAAAUAUGCUGUGGAGAAUGGAAAGGUCUUUCUCAUUUGUGAUCCUGGGAAAAGUUCCUGCUGAGAGUGUCCGCAGGAGAGUUCUGUGUGCCCGAGAGGUGCAUAAAUUCUCAGUGAAUGCAAAGUGGCUCUAGAGUCUUUUAGUAUGUGGAGCAAUUCAUCCAUUUUCUCCACAAAUGAUUUGGAUCCUUCAAAUGGAAGGUCCUCCACAGUAGACUGGACUUUCCUUGGAAAGCCAGAAAGGUGAAGCCAGGAAGCCCUCCGCAUGCCCACCACUGUUGAGAUGAAGCAGGCAGCUGUG